UUGACGGUACCUCACAACAGCCUAGAGGAGCCUGUCCAUAACCGAUACCCCCCGAUUAACCCAACCCCUCCUAGCCCAAACAGUCUAUAUACCGCCGUCGCCAGCCUACCUUAUGAAAGAAAAAAAGUAAGCAAAACAGCCUACACACUAACACGACAGGUCGAGGUGUAACUCAUGGUGGGGCCAAGAUGGGCUACACUUUCUAUUACAGAAAAUAC
RNAcentral lists this ribosomal RNA (218 nucleotides) under Hemorrhois hippocrepis (horseshoe snake). Its description in RNAcentral is "partial 12S ribosomal RNA". The record is from RNAcentral. Lineage: Eukaryota; Metazoa; Chordata; Lepidosauria; Squamata; Colubridae.